GACGAACGCUGGCGGCGUGCUUAACACAUGCAAGUCGAACGGAAAGGCCCUGCUUUUGUGGGGUGCUCGAGUGGCGAACGGGUGAGUAACACGUGAGUAACCUGCCCUUGACUUUGGGAUAACUUCAGGAAACUGGGGCUAAUACCGGAUAGGAGCUCCUGCUGCAUGGUGGGGGUUGGAAAGUUUCGGCGGUUGGGGAUGGACUCGCGGCUUAUCAGCUUGUUGGUGGGGUAGUGGCUUACCAAGGCUUUGACGGGUAGCCGGCCUGAGAGGGUGACCGGCCACAGUGGGACUGAGAUGCGGCCCAGACUCCUACGGGCGGCAGCAGUGGGGAAUAUUGCACAAUGGGCGGAAGCCUGAUGCAGCAACGCCGCGUGCGGGAUGACGGCCUUCGGGUUGUAAACCGCUUUCGCCUGUGACGAAGCGUGAGUGACGGUAAUGGGUAAAGAAGCACCGGCUAACUACGUG
RNAcentral lists this ribosomal RNA (468 nucleotides) under uncultured bacterium. RNAcentral describes it as "partial 16S ribosomal RNA". It matches the Rfam family "Bacterial small subunit ribosomal RNA", at positions 28 to 507 of the family's 1533-position model. The record is from RNAcentral.